This 407-nucleotide ribosomal RNA is filed under the name uncultured bacterium. RNAcentral describes it as "partial 16S ribosomal RNA". It matches the Rfam family "Bacterial small subunit ribosomal RNA", at positions 28 to 526 of the family's 1533-position model. The record is from RNAcentral.
GACGAACGCUGGCGGCGCGCUUAACACAUGCAAGUCGAGCGAAGCGGCGGACGGGUGAGUAACACGUGAGUAACCUGCCUUAGACAUUGGGAUAGCCCCGGGAAACCGGGAUUACUACCAUAUGGUCUAAGAUGGACUCGCGUCCCAUUAGCUAGUUGGUGAGGUAACGGCCCACCAAGGCGACGAAGGGUGUCCGGUCUGAAAGGAUGAACGGCCACAUUGGAAGUGAGACACGGUCCAAAAUCUACGGGAGGCAGCAGUGGGGAAUAUUGCACAAGGGGGGAAACCCUGAUGCAGCGACGCCGCGUGAACGAAGAAGGGAUUCGUAUCGUAAAGUUCUGUCCUAUGGGAAGCAGUACCAUAGAAGAAAGCUCCGGCGAAAUACGUGCCAGCAGCCGCGGUAAUUC